Molecule: non-coding RNA, 135 nt
Organism: Triticum urartu
Lineage: Eukaryota; Viridiplantae; Streptophyta; Magnoliopsida; Poales; Poaceae
Source: Rfam
UUUAUACUCCCUUAGUCCUGAAUUAGUUGUCAUAGAUUUGUUUAAAUACGGAUGUAUCUAGACACAUUUUAGUGUUAGGUAUAUCCGUAUGUAGACAUAUCUAAAACAACUAAUCUGAAACAGAGGUAAUAGAAU